CCUUGUACACACCGCCCGUCACAUCACGAAAAGUCGGUUGCACUAGAAGUCGGUGGGCUAACCCGCAAGGGAGGCAGCCGCCUAAAGUGGGAUCGGUAAUUGGGGUG
This 107-nucleotide ribosomal RNA is filed under the name uncultured bacterium. RNAcentral's name for it is "partial 16S ribosomal RNA". It matches the Rfam family "Bacterial small subunit ribosomal RNA", at positions 1379 to 1482 of the family's 1533-position model. The record is from RNAcentral.